Molecule: ribosomal RNA, 460 nt
Filed under: uncultured bacterium
Lineage: Bacteria
Description: partial 16S ribosomal RNA
Rfam family: Bacterial small subunit ribosomal RNA
Source: RNAcentral
CCUACUGGAGGCAGCAGUGAGGAAUAUUGGUCAAUGGCCGGAAGGCUGAACCAGCCAAGUCGCGUGAGGGAAUAAGGCCCUAUGGGUCGUCAACCUCUUUUGUCAGGGAGCAAAGGCGUCCACGAGUGGACGAAAGGAGAGUACCUGAAGACAAAGCCUCGGCUAACUCCGUGCCAGCAGCCGCGGUAAUACGGAGGAUGCGAGCGUUAUCCGGAUUGCUUGGGUUUAAGGGGUGCGUAGGCGGAGUGACAAGUCAGCGGUAAAAUUUCGGGUCUCAACCCCGUCGUGCCGUUGAAACUGACACCCUUGAGUGAGUGAGAAGUAAGCGGAAUGCGUGGUGUCGCGGUGAAAUGCAUAGAUAUCACGCAGAACGCCGAUUGCGAAGGCAGCUUACCGGCGCUCAACUGACGCUGAGGCACGAAAGUGCGGGUAUCGAACAGGAUUAGAUACCCCGGUAGUC